Molecule: ribosomal RNA, 228 nt
Filed under: uncultured bacterium
Lineage: Bacteria
Description: partial 16S ribosomal RNA
Rfam family: Bacterial small subunit ribosomal RNA
Source: RNAcentral
UACGUCAGCGGCAGACGGGUGAGUAACGCGUGGGAACGUACCUUUUGGUUCGGAACAACACAGGGAAACUUGUGCUAAUACCGGAUAAGCCCUUACGGGAAAGAUUUAUCGCCGAAAGAUCGGCCCGCGUCUGAUUAGCUAGUUGGUGUGGUAACGGCGCACCAAGGCGACGAUCAGUAGCUGGUCUGAGAGGAUGAUCAGCCUCACUGGGACUGAGACACGGCCCAG